RNAcentral lists this ribosomal RNA (793 nucleotides) under uncultured archaeon. Its description in RNAcentral is "bacterial SSU rRNA". It matches the Rfam family "Archaeal small subunit ribosomal RNA", at positions 85 to 879 of the family's 1478-position model. The record is from RNAcentral.
ACUGCUCAGUAACACGUGGACAACCUGCCCUUAGGUUGGGUAUAAACCCGGGAAACUGGGUAUAAUACCCGAUAGGUCUCGAUUGCUGGAAUGCAUCGAGACUUAAAGCUCCGGCGCCUAAGGAUGGGUCUGCGGCCUAUCAGGUAGUAGUGGGUGUAGCGUACCUACUAGCCUACGACGGGUACGGGUUGUGAGAGCAAGAGCCCGGAGAUGGAUUCUGAGACACGAAUCCAGGCCCUACGGGGUGCAGCAGGCGCGAAAACUUUACAAUGCUGGCAACAGCGAUAAGGGAACCUCGAGUGCCAGGUUACAAAUCUGGCUGUCGAGAUGCCUAAAAAGCAUUUCAUAGCAAGGGCCGGGCAAGACCGGUGCCAGCCGCCGCGGUAACACCGGCGGCUCGAGUGGUAACCGUUAUUAUUGGGUCUAAAGGGUCUGUAGCCGGCCGGAUAAGUCUCUUGAGAAAUCUGGCAGCUUAACUGUCAGGCUUUCAGGAGAUACUGUCUGGCUCGAGGCCGGGAGAGGUGAGAGGUACUUCAGGGGUAGGGGUGAAAUCUUGUAAUCCUUGAAGGACCACCAGUGGCGAAGGCGUCUCACCAGAACGGACCUGACGGCAAGGGACGAAAGCUAGGGGCACGAACCGGAUUAGAUACCCGGGUAGUCCUAGCCGUAAACGAUACUCGCUAGGUGUCGGCCACGGUGCGACCGUUGUCGGUGCCGUAGGGAAGCCGUGAAGCGAGCCACCUGGGAAGUACGGCCGCAAGGCUGAAACUUAAAGGAAUUGGCGGGGGAGCAC